RNAcentral lists this long non-coding RNA (1283 nucleotides) under Sus scrofa (pig). Its description in RNAcentral is "lncRNA (ENSSSCG00060008301.1)". The record is from RNAcentral. Lineage: Eukaryota; Metazoa; Chordata; Mammalia; Artiodactyla; Suidae.
AAGGCAAAAAGACAAAAGAAGAAAAGAAAAGAGUGGGUAAUAAAAUGGUGUUGCCUCUCAGCACCCAGCCCUUGUAGUUAGAACUGCCAACCCUCACCCUAUGCGUAGGGCUACCAUUCCUAGCUGGUGUCCCAAGAGCCACAUGUGCUUAAACCAAGGCGAGGCCAGACCUGAUCUGGCCAGUCUUAUCACUCUUUCCUGUGAGGUGUGCUUUCCACCAUAGUUGAGCAUAUCAGAGUACAUUUCCAAGAUAUUUUUAAAUCAGAGUAGAGCAAGAAAAGGUGUCUUUCUGGCAGUGAGAGUUGGAAAAUAUAAAACUCAGAGCUCACAAAAGGUGAGGCUCCUAUCACAGGGCAGAGCCUGACCUACAGGAGGGACUGAAAUGCUGUAAGGGGCAGAGUUUGUUUCCUUGGUUCUCUCUGCCGCUGAAGCUUCCCAUUCCCACUGGCUAGCAGGAUGUCCCAUUUGCUUAUACUAGUUUGAGUUAGCUUAACUUUGGGAAUCAUAAAUGCCACAGCAUGAAAGUAGAUAUGAGGAGUUCCUGUUGUGGCUCAGUGGGUUAAAGACCUGAUGUAGUCUCUGUAAGGAUGCGGGUUUGAUCCCUGGCCUCCCUUAGAGGGUUAAGGAUCUGGCAUUGCUGCAAGCUGCUACUUAGGUCACAGAUGUGGCUGGGAUCUGGUGUUGCAGUGGCUGGGCCAUAGGCGGGCAGCUGCAGCUCUGAUUUGACCCCUAGACCAGGAACUUCCAUGUGCUGCAGAUGUAGCCAUAAAAAGAAAAAAAUGAAGAAAAAACAGAAAGUAGAGAUGAAAGAGAAUAAACAAAUUGAUGAGAGGUCAGGAAAAAAUAUAUAAUUAAAGGAUGGAAUGAAAAAAAUAGAUAUACACCGCAAAUUUCCUCCCAUUCUGCCUUUCAUGAAGCAUGUGACCAUUUUGAAGAGAUCCCAUAGCAAAGAGCUGAAGGCAGCCUCUAGCCAACAGCCAGGAAGAGGCUGGGGCCCUCAGAGUCACAACCACAAGGAAAUAACUUCAGAGUUCCUAUCAUAAGUGCAGAGGAAACGAAUCCAACUAGGAACCAUGAGGUUGCGGGUUCAAUCUCUGACCUCGCUCAGUGGGUUAAGGAUCCGGCAUUGCCAUGAGCUGUGGUGUAGGUUGCAGACAUGGCUCAGAUCUGAUGUUGCUGUGGCUGUGGUGUAGGCCAGCAGCUAUAGCUCUGAUUUGACUCCCAGCCUGGGAACCUCCAUAUGCCAUGGGUGUGGCCCUAAUAAGCAAAAAAAAAAAAAAAAA